UAUUUCCUGGGGUGUUCGAGCCGCCGGAUAUUUUGAACCUACAUCAUUUUGAAUGGGAUUCUUAUAUCGCUGCUUGGAUGUCACGCCUCCUGUCGCAGGACAGUUAGUGGACGGCAAAAGAGUAGUUGCGGAGGCCCACCUGGCUUAUUGCUAGGACUCAAAAUUCCGGAAACGGCACUCUGGGAAAAAA
Molecule: non-coding RNA, 190 nt
Filed under: Eubacterium oxidoreducens
Lineage: Bacteria; Bacillati; Bacillota; Clostridia; Eubacteriales; Eubacteriaceae
Description: 6S / SsrS RNA
Rfam family: 6S / SsrS RNA
About the family: E. coli 6S RNA was the first non coding RNA to be sequenced, but its function was unknown until recently. It consists of 184 nucleotides that fold into an extended hairpin structure with a large single-stranded internal bulge. The 6S RNA specifically associates with RNA polymerase holoenzyme containing the sigma70 specificity factor.
Source: Rfam by way of RNAcentral